AAAAAUCAACUUAUAUACCUGUAGGUAAUAAACCAUAGAGAUGAUUUCAUCAAACAGAUUGGCAACUACAAAAGGUAAAAGACAAAAGCACUAUGAAUGUUACUGAGGAGUCUCCAACAAAGGAGCAAAGCUUCGCCCGCUCUCAGAGUUAACUGAGGAAGACAUUGAGAAAAUGGGGGACAAAGAACUCAGGAAACUCAUUGCAAAGCUGCUGGUCAACAAUGAGAAGUACAAACAAGAGUUCAAAGAAGAAAUAGCAGUAAUACAUCAAAUUAAGACUGAUAUAUCAGAAAUUAAGAACAUAGUAGAGCAAAUUAAAAAUACAGUGGAGAGUCUCAACAACAGAAUGAAUGAGGCAGAAGAAAGAAUAUUAGAAUUAGAAGAUAUUUCCUGUCACCAUGAAGAAACAAGCAAAAAGCUGGAAGCAGAGCUAGGUCAGGCUAAAAAAAGUA
Long non-coding RNA from Ochotona curzoniae (black-lipped pika), 452 nucleotides. RefSeq lists it as uncharacterized. The record is from RefSeq and is a predicted model, not a curated record. Lineage: Eukaryota; Metazoa; Chordata; Mammalia; Lagomorpha; Ochotonidae. The transcript has 2 exons.